This 107-nucleotide ribosomal RNA is filed under the name Threticus lucifugus. Its description in RNAcentral is "partial 16S ribosomal RNA". Lineage: Eukaryota; Metazoa; Arthropoda; Insecta; Diptera; Psychodidae. The record is from RNAcentral.
UCAAACCGGCGUGAGCCAGGUUGGUUUCUAUCCUUAAUUAAUUAAAAUAUUUUAGUACGAAAGGAUUAAAUAUUUAAAAAAUUUUUUUAUUAAAGAAUAAAAUUAAU